This 484-nucleotide ribosomal RNA is filed under the name uncultured bacterium. Its description in RNAcentral is "partial 16S ribosomal RNA". It matches the Rfam family "Bacterial small subunit ribosomal RNA", at positions 30 to 507 of the family's 1533-position model. The record is from RNAcentral.
AUUGAACGCUGGCGGCAGGCCUAACACAUGCAAGUCGAGCGGAUGAAGGGAGCUUGCUCCUGGAUUCAGCGGCGGACGGGUGAGUAAUGCCUAGGAAUCUGCCUGGUAGUGGGGGAUAACGUCCGGAAACGGGCGCUAAUACCGCAUACGUCCUGAGGGAGAAAGUGGGGGAUCUUCGGACCUCACGCUAUCAGAUGAGCCUAGGUCGGAUUAGCUAGUUGGUGGGGUAAAGGCCUACCAAGGCGACGAUCCGUAACUGGUCUGAGAGGAUGAUCAGUCACACUGGAACUGAGAAACGGUCCAGACUCCUACGGGAGGCAGCAGUGGGGAAUAUUGGACAAUGGGCGAAAGCCUGAUCCAGCCAUGCCGCGUGUGUGAAGAAGGUCUUCGGAUUGUAAAGCACUUUAAGUUGGGAGGAAGGGCAGUAAGUUAAUACCUUGCUGUUUUGACGUUACCAAAAGAAUAAGCACCGGCUAACUUCGUG